Orcinus orca (killer whale) is the source of this 73-nucleotide non-coding RNA. The record is from the annotation of a RefSeq genome assembly. NCBI's taxonomy places the organism in Eukaryota, Metazoa, Chordata, Mammalia, Artiodactyla, Delphinidae.
UUCCUGGUGGUCCAGCGGUUAGGACUCUGCACUACCAAUGCAGGGGGCCCGGGUUCAAUUCCUGGUUAGGGAA